RNAcentral lists this long non-coding RNA (1332 nucleotides) under Cottoperca gobio. RNAcentral describes it as "lncRNA (ENSCGOG00000003273.1)". The record is from RNAcentral. Lineage: Eukaryota; Metazoa; Chordata; Actinopteri; Perciformes; Bovichtidae.
CAUGUCCCGGAGGAGGGGGAAAUGCAACCAAUCAUGGAGCUGGAGCCUGAAGAUGAAGAGUCUUUUUUACACCAGAUUGGUGUGGAGCCGAUAAGAGAAAGAGCGGGUUGGAUGAGGCAGGGUGUUAAAAACCCUGAAGAAAGAAGAUUAUCCCCAAAACAAGAACGGCAAGGUAAAGAAUAGACAUAUUACACACACAAACACACACACACAUAUACAGUGUGGACAAGAGGAACGAUCACAGUGACCUAAACAUGUUUUAUAAUUGCAUUUGUUUUGUUUUAGAUUUGAAAAACAAAUGCAAAAGAGAAAAAACAUUGAAAUGCUGUAAUGCCACUUUUUGGCCACAGGGUGGAGCUGUUACCCUGGUGUGAUCCUCGAGGGGAAGUGUUACCAGUUCUUCAGAGCGGCAAAGAAGGCUUCAGAUGCUGAGGUGCUUUCAUUGUGUUCUCUCUCAAAGAUGCACCAUGACAUCUUUUUAAAAUCAAACUACUAUUACAUUAAUGUGUAGAAUCCCACUCUCACUUCUUCUCUGUUUCGUUGCAGUUCUUCUGCCAGGAACAUUUCUCCGGUGGCCACCUGGCCUCCAUCACGAGCCAACACAUCCACAGAGAGGUGAUGAACAUGAUUCUGCGGCAAAACGGGGCCCUGACACGCACCUGGGUUGGAGGACUGCGAUAUUUGAAGACCGGCCGCUUUGUCUGGUUGGAUGGAUCCCACUGGGGCUAUGCUGAUUGGCUGUCAGGGGAGCCCAAUCACACAGCAGGCGUGGAGGAGUGUGUGGAAGUGCUGCCAUACGGAAAUGGGAAGUUCAAUGACUUCACAUGCUGGGAGCCUCAGGCUUUCAUCUGCUCCUUCCCUCAUUUCGUCUGAUUUGAUGCAGUUUGUUACUUUUUCUUUUAGUUUAAAAUCACAUCUUGAAAAGCAAAUGUACUUAAUGACUUAAAGAUGACAUCAUGUAUCGAAAACUAGAAAAUCAGGACUUUGCAUGUUGAAUAUUACAUUCAAAUAUUAGUUUUUUUUAUAACAAGGAUAUAAUAUCCUGUAAAUAAAGAAAUCAUGUUAUUUGUUGUUCUUGAGCUUGUUGUGAGUAUUACCAUUUUGAAAAAAGUAAACAUGAUGCACUUCAUUUAAGUUUACGUCGUGUGUGUGUUAAAGUGAUUCUACGAUAAGUACCAAAAAGUGUGUUUAGAUAUUAAGAUAUAUUUAUUUACAUGUAAAUGUACAUAUUUAAAUUGCACUAAUUGUUAAAACAUUGAGAACAAUGUUUGUGUGUCAGAAACCAACAUGCACUUUUUAGUACAAUUAAAUAUUCUUUACUCACCUGAAAAU